Molecule: long non-coding RNA, 2277 nt
Organism: Xiphophorus hellerii (green swordtail)
Lineage: Eukaryota; Metazoa; Chordata; Actinopteri; Cyprinodontiformes; Poeciliidae
Exons: 2
Source: RefSeq, a predicted model, not a curated record
AAAAAGAUAAGUUAAACAGCUCUUUGAUCUGUUUUUGUAUUCUUAAUGGUAGUUAAUAAAAUAAAUAUAGAUUUAUUAUACUACUUUUUCUGAUGUAUGUCGCAUAUAGUCCCAAGUUUAAAACAGCUGUGAAUAACAAUGAAAAGUGAUAUAAUACACUAAUGUUUUGGACUUAAAACAGGUUCAACACCCAGACUGUCUUUAAACAAUAGUGUCAGAGACAAAAAAAAAAACAACCUGAAAUUACACAAAGGACAAAAAGGAACAGGAACUAACACAUACAGGCACUGUGGUGAUCACAUAAUAUUGGAGUUGGAAAGUACAUUUACGCUUAUAAAGGGAGUUUGCUGAGAUGAUACAAGCAGCAGCAUACUUCAAGAUUUCUUCCUGUCCACUCUUCUUCAGCAAAUUAGCUUUUGUGAACAAGCUUAUCUCUUCUUCCAAUUUUUUUUCUGACGAAUUGGAAAAACCCAUUGCAUAAUUUGGCAAACAAGAAUGUAAUCUUACAAUAAAAACUGUUUAUGCUAAAAUCAUGAUGCAUGUUGCCUUUGUUGUCACCGUAGAAACUGGCAACAAGAUUCAGCUGCAAGUUAGGCUUGACAUAAGAAAAUAUAUUUGCAUAUUUAGCGACUUGAUGAGUGAUGAUAAGUACUCCACUUUAUGUAGCAUUUUAAUUAGGGUAUGGGAAACACAUUGAAACUACGCCUGAAACUGUGUGAAACUGCUUUAACAAAAGUGCAUUCUCUCUCUAUAUUGACUGUUCAAGUCUUCAGCACAUCAUAAAUUAUGUUCAGUUUUGGAGACACAUCAAACAACACACCCAUCUCAUUGCAUUUUCUUAUCAUUCCGUCUUCUGUCCUUCUCAUGUCACAGAAGACACAGGAACUUAAAUCCCCCAUUUUCCCUUGCCUUUGCUUCUAACCCUUUAAAGCUGUGAUUUUUGACUUAGCUUGAAAAGUUUUGCCACAAACUCAGCUCUUUAUCAUCCCCCUGCAGGUUGUGUGUACUGUAUACUACAUAAUGGCUGUUGUGAUACGCUUGCACUUGACAAAACUGAAGCGUCACAGAAGAGCUGCAGCUUCAGGCUAUCUGGCUCAUACAUGAAGUUGCGACAUGCGUCAUGAAUUACUCAGCAUGAGUGGAUGGUGAAAAGCUGAGUGUGAAUGCUACAUCGGAGGAAAUCCAGCUGACUGCAUCAAGCGCUGCCUUUACAGCAAUUUCUCUUUCUGGACAAACAUGCUGUGUGUUUCAUCUAUAAAAAACGACCGUAAAUAAUGGCCACAAUAGUUGGCCACCCUCCAGGAAGGUGCCACCUUUAAAGAGAAAAAACAGGCCAAGUGAAACUUCUUUGAACAGACAAAAUAAACAGAGCAAAAACAAACAAUCAAAGUUAAUGGACUUGAUAGAUGUAGAUGAUGCAUAAAAGGUGUGAGGCUUAGAAAUAGAAGAACCUUCUCUAAACCCGAGAAAUGUCUCCUGAUGAUCACAAUUAUCAUGUCAUUGUGACUUCUAGUGUUAUAACAAUAAAUGUCACAAAACACUGUAAUAAAAUUUUAAGUCUUUAUUACUCAUCCUUGGCAAUAAAAAUGACAUGCAGUUUCUAUCUGCAGAUGGAAACCAGACUACCCACUCACACAGAGGGAAAAACAUGAACUUUAUGCAGAAAGUUCCUGGUUGAGAGGUGAACCCAGAAACUUGCUGUUGUGAAACAAUAGUGCCAGCAGCUGCAAAGCUCCCAUAUCAGUCCUCAGCACAUUAUUCCAAAAGAAGCAUCCUUUAUAAUCUUUAACCAUGCAUCCCCUUCUAGAGAUAUUAGUGACUGGCUAAUUAGUGACUAAGUGAGAAUCACAUACCAAGAUUGUGAUAAACCUUUCUUUCUUAUAAGUCUUAAUUUUUAAAUAUAUAAAUCUGUCCCUUUAAAUUGAUUUCUAAGUCAUCAUGUUGGAAUGGUUUAUUUUUAGUGAUUUUGUUCUGACUCAUCCAUUCAAAAUCUAAUAAAUAUAGGUUUGGUGAGCUCUUAAGAUCUCUAUAGCUAUAAGGAAUUCAUGAGAACACCAGACGCUGAAUAUUCCAAUUUAAAAGGUAUGGCUUUUACCCUGCCAAUGCUUAUUAAGGACCAGAUGAGUAACAUCCAGUCUAAUAGCCCAAGUUCUAGUAUUUGCACAUUCACAUGAUCUUAGAAUCACAAAGAAUAAAUUGUGUUUUAUAAAAAGAAAUUAGUAAAACUUAUAAAACUUAAAUUUUAUUAGUGUUACAUAAACAAUAAAAUGUAGACUC